This 23-nucleotide small nuclear RNA is filed under the name Arabidopsis thaliana (thale cress). RNAcentral's name for it is "snRNA_13537". Lineage: Eukaryota; Viridiplantae; Streptophyta; Magnoliopsida; Brassicales; Brassicaceae. The record is from RNAcentral.
AACUGAACAAAAGUCAAAAUUAU